GUUAUAGGAUCAAGCGACUAAGUGCAUCUGGUGGAUGCCUUGGCGAUGAUAGGCGAAGAAGGACGCGUUAGCCUGCGAAAAGCGAUGGGGAGCUGGCAAAUAAGCUUUGAUCCAUCGAUAUCCGAAUGGGGAAACCCGGCCCUUUUGGGUCACUCAUCACUGAAUACAUAGGUGGUGUAGAGCGAACUCGGCGAACUGAAACAUCUAAGUAGCCGAAGGAAAAGAAAUCAACCGAGAUUCCCAAAGUAGUGGCGAGCGAAAUGGGAAGAGCCUGCAUGUGAUAGAUCAAACUUUAGUGGAACAGUCUGGAAAGUCUGGCGAUAGUGGGUGAUAGCCCCGUACACGAAAGAGAUUGGUUGGUACUAAGCAUGCGAGAAGUAGGGCGGGACACGAGAAAUCCUGUUUGAAGAUGGGGGGACCAUCCUCCAAGGCUAAAUACUCAUCAUCGACCGAUAGUGAACCAGUACCGUGAGGGAAAGGCGAAAAGAACCCCGGGAGGGGAGUGAAAUAGAACCUGAAACCGGAUGCAUACAAACAGUGGGAGCCCUUGCAAAAUGGGGUGACUGCGUACCUUUUGUAUAAUGGGUCAGCGACUUACGUUCAGUAGCGAGCUUAACCGAGUAGGGGAGGCGUAGGGAAACCGAGUCCGAAUAGGGCGCAUAGUUGCUGGGCGUAGACCCGAAACCAAGUGAUCUAUCCAUGGCCAGGAUGAAGCUGCGGUAAUACGCAGUGGAGGUCCGAACCCACUAAUGUUGCAAAAUUAGGGGAUGAGCUGUGGAUAGGGGUGAAAGGCUAAACAAACUUGGAAAUAGCUGGUUCUCCUCGAAAACUAUUUAGGUAGUGCCUCAUGUAUCACUGACGGGGGUAAAGCACUGUUAUGGCUAGGGGGUCAUCGCGACUUACCAAACCAUGGCAAACUCUGAAUACCGUCAAGUGCGAGCAUGGGAGACAGACUGUGGGUGCUAACGUCCAUGGUCAAGAGGGAAACAACCCAGAUCGCCGUCUAAGGUCCCAAAUAAUCAGUUAAGUGGAAAACGAGGUGGGAAGGCAUAGACAGCCAGGAUGUUGGCUUAGAAGCAGCCAUCAUUUAAAGAAAGCGUAAUAGCUCACUGGUCGAGUCGUCCUGCGCGGAAGAUGUAACGGGGCUCAAACUGAUAACCGAAGACGCGAAUAUGUACCGAUGGUACAUAUGGUAGAGGAGCGUUCCGUAGGCCUGCGAAGGUGUCUUGAGAAGGAUGCUGGAGGUAUCGGAAGUGCGAAUGCUGACAUGAGUAGCGAUAAUGCGGGUGAAAAGCCCGCACACCGAAAACCCAAGGUUUCCUGCGCAACGUUCAUCGGCGCAGGGUGAGUCGGCCCCUAAGGCGAGGCAGAAAUGCGUAGUCGAUGGACAACGGGUUAAUAUUCCCGUACCGAUAUGAAGUGCGAUGGGGGACGGAGAAAGGUAGGUCAGCCAUCUGUUGGAAUAGGUGGUUUAAGCGAGUAGGCGUGUGGCUUAGGCAAAUCCGGGCUGCUAUAACGCUGAGACGUGACGACGAAGUCUUCGGACUGAAGUGAUUGAUCCUAUGCUUCCAAGAAAAGCCUCUAAGCUUCAGCUUUAUAUUGACCGUACCGCAAACCGACACAGGUGGGUAGGAAGAGAAUUCUAAGGUGCUUGAGAGAACUCAGGAGAAGGAACUCGGCAAAUUAUCACCGUAACUUCGGGAGAAGGUGAGCCCAGAGUAUGUGAAGUUCUUCGCGAAUGGAGCAGAAAUGGGUCGCAGAGAAAUGGGGGCUGCGACUGUUUAUCAAAAACACAGCACUCUGCAAAGUCGAAAGACGACGUAUAGGGUGUGACGCCUGCCCGGUGCUGGAAGAUUAAAUGAUGGGGUGCAAGCUCUUGACUGAAGUCCCAGUAAACGGCGGCCGUAACUAUAACGGUCCUAAGGUAGCGAAAUUCCUUGUCGGGUAAGUUCCGACCCGCACGAAUGGCGUAACGAUGGCCCUACUGUCUCCUCCUGAGACUCAGCGAAGUUGAAAUGUUUGUGAAGAUGCAAUCUCCCCGCUGCUAGACGGAAAGACCCCGUGAACCUUUACUGUAGCUUUGCAUUGGACUUUGAAGUGGUUUGUGUAGGAUAGGUGGGAGGCUAUGAAGCGUGGACGCUAGUCUGCGUGGAGCCGACCUUGAAAUACCACCCUGACCCCUUUGAGGUUCUAACCUUGGUCCGUUAUCCGGAUCGGGGACCGUGCAUGGUAGGCAGUUUGACUGGGGCGGUCUCCUCCCAAAUUGUAACGGAGGAGCUCGAAGGUCGCCUAGGUACGGUCGGACAUCGUACUGAUAGUGUAAUGGCAUAAGGCGGCUUAACUGCGAGACAGACAAGUCGAGCAGGUGCGAAAGCAGGACAUAGUGAUCCGGUGGUUCUGAAUGGAAGGGCCAUCGCUCAACGGAUAAAAGGUACUCCGGGGAUAACAGGCUGAUUCCGCCCAAGAGUUCACAUCGACGGCGGAGUUUGGCACCUCGAUGUCGGCUCAUCACAUCCUGGGGCUGUAGCCGGUCCCAAGGGUAUGGCUGUUCGCCAUUUAAAGUGGUACGUGAGCUGGGUUCAAAACGUCGUGAGACAGUUUGGUCCCUAUCUGCAGUGGGCGUUGGAAAUUUGAGGGGGGCUGCUCCUAGUACGAGAGGACCGGAGUGGACAGAUCUCUGGUGUACCGGUUGUCACGCCAGUGGCAUCGCCGGGUAGCUAAAUCUGGAAGAGAUAAGCGCUGAAAGCAUCUAAGCGCGAAACUCGCCUCAAGAUGAGAUUUCCCCAAGGCUUUAAGCCUUUUAAAGGGUCGUUCGAGACCAGGACGUUGAUAGGUCGGGUGUGGAAGCGCAGUAAUGCGUUAAGCUAACCGAUACUAAUUGCCCGUAAGGCUUGAUCCUAUAACCUGAGACGCGU
This 2915-nucleotide ribosomal RNA is filed under the name Iodobacter ciconiae. RNAcentral's name for it is "Iodobacter sp. H11R3 23S ribosomal RNA". It matches the Rfam family "Bacterial large subunit ribosomal RNA". The record is from RNAcentral. Lineage: Bacteria; Pseudomonadati; Pseudomonadota; Betaproteobacteria; Neisseriales; Chitinibacteraceae.